GUAUCCAUUUCAGAGUCCUGAUAAUUUUUAAAUUUAUCAUGUAGAUUGAUUCGGAUAAGAUAUUUUUUUUUAUGGAAGACUCGAUAUGGAGGAGUUCUACUCUAUCUGGACUUUUCUAAAUUGAGAGAGAGAGAGAGACGAAUUUGAUGUUGAGAAGUUUAGCUCGGCUACAGACGAGCUAUGAUAGAUCGUCUAGGGUUGAGGUUAU
This 208-nucleotide long non-coding RNA is filed under the name Elaeis guineensis (African oil palm). Its description in RNAcentral is "long non-coding RNA (EGUI_LNC006896)". The record is from RNAcentral. Lineage: Eukaryota; Viridiplantae; Streptophyta; Magnoliopsida; Arecales; Arecaceae.